UUGCAAUGUUACGCUGCGGCUUUUUGUCUUGUUUUGGUUACUGACAAAUUUACUGUCAAAAACGAGACUGAGCUUCUGCUUGCGAGUGGAAAAAUCUCACCUUUUCUCCUUAGCAACUACUGUUUUGGCUUGGAGUGCUGAAACCCUACCCAUGGAGGGUUUCAGGCUGCUAGUUAAUGUGCAGUGCAGUAUCCAAGCAUUGCAUAAGUAUGGUUUGCAUGUGUACUCUCCAUGAACCCAGUGACUCCGUAAACCCUGGACAUAUGGCAAAAGAAACACACUAUACCAGAUAAUCAACAGAUUACACUAGAUUAAGGUAAUAUUCCGAAAUCUCCCAAUUAUGGUGCAUUUCUUAAUGUAGGAUAGAAAAAUAAUUAUAUAUGAGAGAAAGAAGGGACUUUUUGAAGUUCUCCGUUUAAAAGGACUAUUCUCUCUGCGGUAAGGCAAGACUUUAUAAAAAUAAGCCCAAAAGCUGUGUGUGAUUUCCCAUUCCCUGUCAGGGCCAAGAUGGUCUUUGCUUUCAGGGGUCAGGUUUCAGGCUUCUGCUGAUUUCAAAGCGAAUGAGACGAGCUGAGCAGUGGGCAUUUGUGAACGUUGGCAGCGAUAUCCUGUGUGGGACUGAGAGACCCUUUGUAGACCUAGAUUAACAUGAAUGGCAGUAAAAUAAAUAUCUUCUAGUAUACAGGAGCAUGAAUUAACAUCUGUUUCUCCCGCUGUUUUUCUGGGGCGGAUUCGAUGUUCAGUGCACCAUGUGGUGAAGUCAUUUCCGAUAUGGCUGAAAUCUAUAUCCAGCAAAUCCAAAGCAGGCAACAGAAAUACGGUAUCCCGGAGCAGCCUUCCCUAGGCCUGGCAUUCCCUGGCUCAGCAGUAGCCCCUCAUCUCUUGGGACAGCAAUAUGGGAAUAUGGUGUCGUCACACGGGGUGAGCUGCGCUGCUUCAUUAUACGUGGUUUGCACAAAAAAGCUUUACAGUCCUAGGUGAGCAUAAAGUGGCAGAAAACAGUAGGCUUGUGCUAUGUGCGGGGCUGUGGAACGCUCACUGAGGAAGCCACGGGAGCGACAGGUCUGCAGUGAGGUCCCCCUCAUGCUGACGAAAACAGCUCCGAUCCAUUGAGCCUGGACUCCAGAAGACCUCUGAAGGUGUCCUGUGGUAUCUGGCACCAAGAUGUUAGCAGUGAAUCCUUAAGUCCUGUAAAUUGAAAGUGUAGCAGGGUGCAUUAUCCUGCUGAAAGUGACCACUGCCAUCAGGGAAUACCGUUGCCAUGACGGGGUGUACUUGGUCUGCAACAAUGUUUAGCACCGCUCGACUGGCUCCACCAUCUUUCAAGGCACGAAGAAGACAUGCGUCUAGACUCUUCUCCGUCGUGGCACCUAUGUGGUGGAAUGAACUUCCCCGAGAUGUUCGAACAGCUGAGUCACUGAGUGCCUUUAAAUGACGACUGAAAACCUACCUCUUUGGGAAGUACUUGGAUUAGCACUUCCAGGAUUAUACUUUGAUUAUUAACUCUAUUGGCAAAUACAUUUUUUUAGUGUGAUAGUAUUCUUCUUAGCUGGGUUUCAUUGAUCCAGUAUCAGCAUGUAUUCACUGAUGGGACUUCUAGGUCCUUAUGUAUAUCGCUCUGGCUAUGGGUGUCUGCCAAAUGCCGUAAAUGUAAAUAUUCAAAAAUGGAAUUUUGCAAGGAUUGUUGUUGGGGCAAGUACUACCCACGUAAUAUUUGUAUAGAUAGAUCAAAACUAAUUACGUUCUAUCCAUUGUCCCCAUACUAAGAUUGCUACUGGUUAAUGAAGAGAAAAAAAAUGAAAGUUACAGAGAUGCCAAAUAUCAGGCAUUAGACGUGACACUCGCAUUUUCAGACACUCACGCUCAUGCAAGAAAUCUUACAGCAAUUCUAUAUUAUUCCAUUAAAAUUAGCUAUAUGAAAGCAUUGGGGUAGUUUGUAAAACCUACAGACUACCUGCAGGGUAAUGAAGCAGUUGCCUACAUAUAAUUGUGUGUGCAGAUUUCCCUCAUAGUGAAAAUCUCACUCCAGCCAGCUGACCAGAGUUGCCAACCCUGAAGUUUUGCUGCUUAGAAGGUGCUGCCUGGGGUGAGCAGCAUCUGAGCUGGAGUCCUGGUUCAGUCCCAUGGAGAGGUGACAUCGCGAACAGGACAUACGAACUGUAUCAUCGUGGGGGCAGCAUCCAGUGCCCCCCCACACAGGCCAGCGUGGAUAACAGACUCAUUCAUGGACUUUGUCUUGAUCCAUAAUCACAGCUUAUACCCAGCCUUUAGCAUGCAAGUCCACUCUUUUCUGUUUUCAGUAAUGUGAGUAUGGCCCGGGGGGGUGGGCAGCCAGUUGACCUUGGACCCCCAGAGGUUUUAUUUCUCCUUACUUGGGAUAUUUUGGUUCCUCCUCCGUUGUCAUCUGACUUUCUUUAUUUAAUUUCUUUCCUUUCUUUUUCCUGGUCUGUAUUACUCUCUAAUGAUGUAAUGUAUCACAACACAUCCAUGUAAAGCACCUUUUGAUGACUCUUAUGUACAAGGCGCUAUGAUCCUGUGUGCUCUUGACACAACUCGCGGUAGCACUUUCUGAUCAGCUGCCGUGCAGCCAAGAUGCCACACACAAAUACAGAAGGUUAGCAUACUCGCUGUGGUGCGGCGGAGAUACCACGCGCAGGUACAGCGGGUUAGCAUACUCGCUGUGGUGCGGCUGAGAUACCGCGCGCAGGUACAGCGGGUUAGCAUACUCGCUGUGGUGCGGCUGAGAUACCGCGCGCAGGUACAGCGGGUUAGCAUACUCGCUGUGGUGCGGCUGAGA
Brienomyrus brachyistius is the source of this 2797-nucleotide long non-coding RNA. RefSeq lists it as uncharacterized. The transcript has 6 exons. The record is from RefSeq and is a predicted model, not a curated record. Lineage: Eukaryota; Metazoa; Chordata; Actinopteri; Osteoglossiformes; Mormyridae.